CCUACGGGUGGCAGCAGUGAGGAAUAUUGGUCAAUGGACGGGAGUCUGAACCAGCCAAGCCGCGUGAAGGAAGAAGGUACAGUGUGUCGUAAACCGCUUUUGUCCGAGAAUAAACCUGGGGACGAGUAUUCGGCUGAGAGUACUUGACGAAAAAGCAUCGGCUAACUCCGUGCCAGCAGCCGCGGUAAUACGGAGGAUGCAAGCGUUCUCCGGAUUUAUUGGGUUUAAAGGGUGCGUAGGCGGCCUGAUAAGUUAGCGGUGAAAUGCCCGGGCUUAACCCCGGAACUGCCUCUAAGACUGGCGAUCUAGAGAUGAGAUGAGGUAGGCGGAAUGUACGGUGUAGCGGUGAAAUGCUUAGAGAUCAUACAGAACACCGAUUGCGAAGGCAGCUUACCAA
Molecule: ribosomal RNA, 397 nt
Filed under: uncultured bacterium
Lineage: Bacteria
Description: partial 16S ribosomal RNA
Rfam family: Bacterial small subunit ribosomal RNA
Source: RNAcentral